AGAGUGAACGCUGGCGGUAGGCCUAACACAUGCAAGUCGAACGGCAGCACGGUAAGAGCUUGCUCUUAUGGGUGGCGAGUGGCGGACGGGUGAGGAAUACAUCGGAAUCUACCUUUUGGUGGGGGAUAACGUAGGGAAACUUACGCUAAUACCGCAUACGCCCUUCGGGGGAAAGCCGGGGACCAGCAAUGGCCUGGUGCUGAUAGAUGAGCCGAUGUCGGAUUAGCUAGUUGGUGAGGUAAUGGCUCACCAAGGCGACGAUCCGUAGCUGGUCUGAGAGGAUGAUCAGCCACACUGGAACUGAGACACGGUCCAGACCUCCGUACGGGAGCAGCA
RNAcentral lists this ribosomal RNA (336 nucleotides) under uncultured soil bacterium. RNAcentral's name for it is "bacterial SSU rRNA". It matches the Rfam family "Bacterial small subunit ribosomal RNA", at positions 26 to 353 of the family's 1533-position model. The record is from RNAcentral.